Molecule: ribosomal RNA, 1820 nt
Filed under: Durio zibethinus
Lineage: Eukaryota; Viridiplantae; Streptophyta; Magnoliopsida; Malvales; Malvaceae
Description: SSU rRNA
Rfam family: Eukaryotic small subunit ribosomal RNA
Source: RNAcentral
CUCGAUUGAUCCUGCCAGUAGUCAUAUGCUUAUCUCAAAGAUUAAGCCAUGUAUGUUUAAGUAUGAACUAAUUUAGACUGUGAAAUUGUGAAUGGCUCAUUAAAUCAAUUUUAGUUUGUUUGAUGGUAUCUACUACUCAGAUAAUUGUAAUAAUUUUAUAGCUAAAGUAUACAACAAACCCCUGCUUCUGGAAGGGAUGUAUUUAUUAGAUAAAAGGUCAAUGUGGGCUUUGCGCUUCGCUCUAAUGAUUCAUUAUAACUUGACGAAUCGCAUAGCUUUUAUACCAACAAUGCAUGAUUCAAAUUUUUGCUCUAUCAACUGUUGAUGGUAAGAUAAUGGCCUACUAUGGUGGUGAUUGGUGACAAAGAAUUAGGGUUCGAUUCUGGAGAGGAAACCUGAGAAAAAGCUAACACAUCCAAGGAAGGCUAUAGGCAAAAAAUUACCCAACUUGACACGGGGAGGUUGUGAGAAUAAAUAACAAUGCUGGGCUCUAUGAGUCUAGUAAUUGAAAUGAAUACAAUCUAAAUUCCUUAAUAAGGAUCCAUUAAAAGGCCAUCCAUUAGAGGGCAAGUCUGGUGCCAACAGCCAUGGUAAUUCUAGCUCUAAUAGCAUAUUUAAGUUAUUGCAGUUAAAAAACUUAUGGUUGAAACUAAGAUUGGGUCAUCUGACUAAGAUUGGGUCAUCUGGUCCACUUCAUGGUGAGCACCAGUUUACUUGUCUUUGUAACCAAUGAUGUGUUUUAACCUUAACUAGCUAGGUCAUUCCUCUGGUGAUGUUACUUUGAAGAAAUUAGAGUGCUCAAAAUAGGCCUAUGUUUGUAUACGUUAGCAAAGGAUAACAUCAUAGGAUAUUGGUGCUAUCGUGUUGGCCUUUGGGAUCGAAGUAAUGAUUAACAGGGAUAGUUAGGGGCAUUCAUAUUUAUAGUCAGAGGUGAAAUUCUUGGAUUUAUGAAAAAUGAACAAAUGCAAAAGCAUUUGCCAAUGAUGUUUUCAUUAAUCAAGAAUGAAAGUUGGGGGCUCAAAGUUGAUCAAAUACUAUCCUAGUCUCAACUAUAAAUGAUGUCGACCAGGGAUCAAUGAAUGUUACUUUUAGGACUCUGUGGCACCUUAUGAAAAAUCAAAGUCUUCGAAUUCUAGGGGGAGUAUGGUUGCAAGGCUUAAACUUAAAGGAAUUGAUGGAAGGGCACCACCAGGAGUAGAGCUUGUAGUUAAUUUGACUCAACAUAAGGAAACUUAUUCGGUCCAGACAUAGUAAGGCUUGACAUACUGAGAGCUUUUUCUUGAUUCUAUAGGUGGUGGUGCAUGGCCGUUCUUAGUUGGUAGAGUGAUUUGUCUGCUUAAUUCUAUUAAUGAAUGAAACCUCAACCUAUUAACUAGCUAUGAUGAGAUGAUCCUUAAUGGCUAGCUUUCUAAAGGGACUAUGGCUGCUUAGACCAAUAAAGUUUGAUGCAAUAAAAGGUCUAUGAUGCCUUUAGAUGUUUUAGGCUGCAUGUGCGCUACACUGAUGUAUUCAACAAGUCUAUAGCCUUGGCCGAUAGGCCUAGGUAAUCUUUGAAAUUUCAUCAUAAUACAUAUAGAUCAUUGCAAUUGUUAUCAACGAGGAAUUCCUAAUAAGUGCGAGUCAUCAGCUUAUGUUGACUACGUCCCUGCCCUUUGUACACAUUGCCUAUCACUCUUACCAAUUGAAUGGUCCGAUGAAGUAUUUAGAUUGUAGUGACAUGGACGGUUCACUACCUGUGACAUUGCAAGAAGUUCAGUAAACCUUAUCAUUUAGAGGAAGGAAAAGUCAUAACAAGGUUUUCAUAAGUGAACUUGCAGAAG